GCCUUAUUAUAAAUAUAUGAGGUGAAACCUGCUCAAUGGCUGCCAAUAAACAAUAACAACAGUUAAAUAGCCGCGGUAACUCUGACCGUGAUAAAGUAGCAUAAUCACUCGUCAUUUAAUUGAUGACUGGAAUGAAUGGUUAAACGAAUCUCCUGCUGUCUCAAGAAGAAAUAUAACUAAAUUGAAAUGAUAGUGAAGAUGCUAUCUUAUAAUUAUAAGACGAAAAGACCCUAUUGAGCUUUACUAAAAGCUUGUAGUUAAUUUCAUACUAAUAUUUAUAUAAAGAAAAAUUUUGCAAGCUUGUUAGUUUGGUUGGGGCGACCACCUCUAAAAAAGUAUCAGAGGAACUCUAAAAGUUUUACAAUAAUAUAAAAAGCCUUACUGAAUACUUAUAUGUUAAACAGUUACUAACUAGUAGGAUAUAAUGACCCGUUAAUUAAUUUUAUUAAAUUAACGAACAUAGAAAAAGUUACCAUAGGGAUAACAGGGUAAUAUUUUUGAAGAGUUCAUAUCGAUAAAAAUGUUUGCCACCUCGAUGUUGAAUUGUGGUAUCCUAAAGGUGCAGCAGCUUUUAAGGGUUG
Molecule: ribosomal RNA, 581 nt
Filed under: Stomolophus sp. 5 LGD-2017
Lineage: Eukaryota; Metazoa; Cnidaria; Scyphozoa; Rhizostomeae; Stomolophidae
Description: partial 16S large subunit ribosomal RNA
Rfam family: Bacterial large subunit ribosomal RNA
Source: RNAcentral